GAUGAACGCUGGCGGCGUGCCUAAUACAUGCAAGUCGAGCGAACAGACGAGGAGCUUGCUCCUCUGACGUUAGCGGCGGACGGGUGAGUAACACGUGGAUAACCUACCUAUAAGACUGGGAUAACUUCGGGAAACCGGAGCUAAUACCGGAUAAUAUAUUGAACCGCAUGGUUCAAUAGUGAAAGACGGUUUUGCUGUCACUUAUAGAUGGAUCCGCGCCGCAUUAGCUAGUUGGUAAGGUAACGGCUUACCAAGGCAACGAUGCGUAGCCGACCUGAGAGGGUGAUCGGCCACACUGGAACUGAGACACGGUCCAGACUCCUACGGGAGGCAGCAGUAGGGAAUCUUCCGCAAUGGGCGAAAGCUUGACGGAGCAACGCCGCGUGAGUGAUGAAGGUCUUCGGAUCGUAAAAAUCUGUUAUUAGGGAAGAACAAAUGUGUAAGUAACUAUGCACGUCUUGACGGUACCUAAUCAGAAAGCCACGGCUAACUACGUG
This 497-nucleotide ribosomal RNA is filed under the name uncultured bacterium. Its description in RNAcentral is "partial 16S ribosomal RNA". It matches the Rfam family "Bacterial small subunit ribosomal RNA", at positions 28 to 507 of the family's 1533-position model. The record is from RNAcentral.